AACCGAUAGGAGGAACCGACCCACGGCUACUUCUCUAUGAAACCUUUGCUCAAGACCCCACCUGCAGUGAGCCCCUCAGGCAGGACCUGGCUCUGAUCUGAAAACACACACUUUCCCCUGCUGGGUACAGCCCGUCAACACUGCAUCUGAACACUAAUCAGAAGUAGAAGCACGGAAAGCAUCUGUGAUGGGAAACGUCAAAGGGGAGUUGUUGGAUGAGAGGACCUGAGACGCAGCAGGGCCAGCAAGUUGUCUCAGUGGGCAAAAGUGCUUGCCACUAUGGGGAUCUGAGUUCAAUACGUGCAUCAAGGCUCAUCUGUGGGGAAGUAUCUAGAACUCAAACGCUGGAAUGCUGUACCUGAGGAACACUGGACUCAGAGGAAGAGGAAGGAGUGAAGUUCCCUGACCUCUUCCCAGCUCUGGGUGUGUGAAGGCAACAGGUCUGGAACACGCCCUGCCUGUAUCAAUUAGUGAGCUCGCCGGGGAAGGCAAACGCACUGGGUCUUCACCUCUUUUAGUUAAACUGCUCAUCGAAGGCCGUUUGGAAUCAGGCAAUAGCUCACUGCACAGUUCAGCAGGACACAGCCUGCUUUACACGGCAGCGGCAUUGAGUACAUGGUACUGUUGUGCCCCAACCGUCGCCAUUCAUCUCCAGAACUCUUGUAAAACACAGGUCUUUGUAGUGGCAUUUCAUUCGUAUCUUAAUAAAUAACGUU
Long non-coding RNA from Myodes glareolus (Bank vole), 716 nucleotides. RefSeq lists it as uncharacterized. Lineage: Eukaryota; Metazoa; Chordata; Mammalia; Rodentia; Cricetidae. The record is from RefSeq and is a predicted model, not a curated record.